UGCAGUCGAGCGCAGGAGCUAACCGAUCCCCUUCGGGGGUGACGUUAGUGGAAUGAGCGGCGGACGGGUGAGUAACACGUGGGCAACCUGCCUGUAAGACCGGAAUAACCCCGGGAAACCGGGGCUAAUGCCGGAUAACCUCUUCUCUCUCAUGAGGAAAGAGUAAAAGAUGGCCUUUGGCUAUCACUUACAGAUGGGCCCGCGGCGCAUUAGCUAGUUGGUGAGGUAACGGCUCACCAAGGCGACGAUGCGUAGCCGACCUGAGAGGGUGAUCGGCCACACUGGGACUGAGACACGGCCCAGACUCCUACGGGAGGCAGCAGUAGGGAAUCUUCCGCAAUGGACGAAAGUCUGACGGAGCAACGCCGCGUGAACGAUGAAGGUUUUCGGAUCGUAAAGUUCUGUUGUGAGGGAAGAACAAGUACCGUGCGAAUAGAGCGGUACCUUGACGGUACCUCACGAGAAAGCCCCGGCUAACUACGUGCCAGCAGCCGCGGUAAUACGUAGGGGGCAAGCGUUGUCCGGAAUUAUUGGGCGUAAAGCGCGCGCAGGCGGUUCCUUAAGUCUGAUGUGAAAGCCCACGGCUCAACCGUGGAGGGUCAUUGGAAACUGGGGAACUUGAGGACAGAAGAGGAGAGUGGAAUUCCACGUGUAGCGGUGAAAUGCGUAGAUAUGUGGAGGGA
RNAcentral lists this ribosomal RNA (683 nucleotides) under Halobacillus sp. JC249. RNAcentral describes it as "bacterial SSU rRNA". It matches the Rfam family "Bacterial small subunit ribosomal RNA", at positions 56 to 706 of the family's 1533-position model. The record is from RNAcentral. Lineage: Bacteria; Bacillati; Bacillota; Bacilli; Caryophanales; Bacillaceae.